Molecule: non-coding RNA, 73 nt
Organism: Pangasius djambal
Lineage: Eukaryota; Metazoa; Chordata; Actinopteri; Siluriformes; Pangasiidae
Source: the annotation of a GenBank genome assembly
GCAGUGGUAGCUCAGUGGUUAAGACGUUGGACUAGUGAUCGGAAGGUAGGGUUCAAUCCCCAGCACCACCACG